ACAAAUAACAAAAAUACAUCAGCAUACGACAUACAUCAACAAGACAGAAACCCGACGACACAAAUAACAAAAAUACAUCAGCAUACGACAUACAUCAACAAGACCGAAACAUGACGACACAAAUAACUAUAAUACAUCAGCAUACGACAUACAUCAACAAGACAGAAACAUGACGACACAAAUAACAAAAAUACAUCAGCAUACGACAUACAUCAACAAGACAGAAACCUGACGACACAAAUAACAAAAAUACAUCAGCAUACGACAUACAUCAACAAGACAGAAACAUGACGACACAAAUAACAAAAAUACAUCAGCAUACG
RNAcentral lists this long non-coding RNA (323 nucleotides) under Mytilus galloprovincialis (Mediterranean mussel). The record is from RNAcentral. Lineage: Eukaryota; Metazoa; Mollusca; Bivalvia; Mytilida; Mytilidae.